RNAcentral lists this transfer RNA (74 nucleotides) under Clostridiales bacterium. RNAcentral describes it as "tRNA-Gly". It matches the Rfam family "tRNA". From Rfam's summary of the family: Transfer RNA (tRNA) molecules are approximately 80 nucleotides in length. Their secondary structure includes four short double-helical elements and three loops (D, anti-codon, and T loops). RNAcentral also lists the same sequence under 1 other name. Lineage: Bacteria; Bacillati; Bacillota; Clostridia; Eubacteriales. The record is from RNAcentral.
GCGAGUGUAAUUCAAUGGUAGAAUUCCAGCCUUCCAAGCUGGCAGCGUGGGUUCGAUUCCCAUCACUCGCUCCA